CCUCGUUUCACAUCCUGUUUUGUGAAAGGAGAGGCCAAUUCCAACAGGUUUAGAUUUCACUUUUGGGAGAGAGAAGAAUUAGUAGUUCAGAGAGGCUCAGAUAAGCCUGACCUUAACUGACACAGUGUAUGUUAGUGCUCAGUCAAGGAGAAAAAGGGAGAAGCAACAUUGCCAAGAACUUAAAAAUCGGGAAGGUUUCAGUUUAGAUUUUCUACAGAUGACUUAAAAGACAUACAAAUUUUUAUAGUUAAGCACAUUUUAUCUCAGUGACCUCAAUCAGGAUACCCUGGGCAAUCCCUUUUUGCCAUGAGCACAGUUCCUGCUGCAGGGGACACUCCAUGUGUGGGUUUUGAUUCUGAUCCUUCCAGUUCAUCUCAUUUUUGUGACACUCAUAUGGUGACACUGGAUGGCUCAGCCUUGACUUAAAAACAGCUUGGGUUUCCCUGUUCCAUAUUUCUGUAUUAAAUGGUGCUUGCAAUUGCUAAGUUUUUUUUUUUUUUCUGUUGUGUUUCUUUUCUGCUGCUCAUAUAACUUUGACAGUAAGAAACUUCCAAAUGAUUUCUAGGUAUAAGCUGCUUACAGGUGAGUUUUGCAGUGGCAUGUGAGUUGCCUUUGUUCAUCCAGGCUGGUGCUGUACCUCCAAAACAAGGAUAAAGGCACAAGGAAUAUGACAGCUGCUAGUUUCAGAAAAGCUCCCCCAAAGAAAACAUUCUUUCCCAAUAUCUGCCUUCAUCUAUGGUCUCACAGCACAGAGAAAAGAAAUCCUGAUUAAAUCUGACAAUUUCAAUUGGUUAUGAGAACAUCAUGGGCUAUUUUGUUUCCCCAGAAGCUUGCUGGAAUUUACCUUGGAAGUUUUGUGAGUGCUUCAGGUGUCUCAGGCAGGGAUGAGUGUGGGAACUGCUGGAGUCAUCUGUUUGGAGCUGAUGAGGAGCUGAGUUGUUCCUGUGCUUUGGAGUCCAGGGGUGCUGAGCUCCUGCACCCAGCCAUGGCCAGGGGGUUCCUGUGA
This 1006-nucleotide long non-coding RNA is filed under the name Cyanistes caeruleus (blue tit). Its description in RNAcentral is "lncRNA (ENSCCEG00000019634.1)". Lineage: Eukaryota; Metazoa; Chordata; Aves; Passeriformes; Paridae. The record is from RNAcentral.